AUACGGAGGAUCCGAGCGUUAUCCGGAUUUAUUGGGUUUAAAGGGUGCGCAGGCGGGUGAUUAAGUCGGCGGUGAAAUUUUUGAGCUCAACCUUAAAAGGGCCUUCUGAACUGGGUUUCUUGAGUGUAGAUGAAGGAGGUGGAAUUUGUGGUGUAGCGGUGAAAUGCAUAUAUAUCACGAGGAACUCCGAUUGCGCAGGCCACUUGCUAAACUACUACUGACGCUCAGGCACGAGGGCGUGGGGAACAAACAGAAUUAGAUUCGUUGGUAGUGCACGCAGUAAACGAUGAUUACUAGCUGUUUGCGAUACAAUGUAAGCGGCUGAGCGAAAGCGUUAAGUAAUCCGCCUGGGGAGUACGUUCGCAAGAAUGAAACUCAAAUGAAUUGACGGGG
RNAcentral lists this ribosomal RNA (393 nucleotides) under uncultured bacterium. RNAcentral describes it as "partial 16S ribosomal RNA". It matches the Rfam family "Bacterial small subunit ribosomal RNA", at positions 523 to 918 of the family's 1533-position model. The record is from RNAcentral.